UCCAAGUUGAAAAGUUACCUCUUCCUCUGAGAGGGGAGAAAAAAGGAAAUGAUACUGGAGAGAUCUGAGGUUCGAUGUUGGGAUGAAAUGAGAUCAUGAGGAGUCAUUAAACAAAGGAGGUUUACUUUGUUUAAAUCCAGUAAGGACAUACAGGAUACA
This 159-nucleotide long non-coding RNA is filed under the name Monodelphis domestica (gray short-tailed opossum). Its description in RNAcentral is "lncRNA (ENSMODG00000035271.2)". Lineage: Eukaryota; Metazoa; Chordata; Mammalia; Didelphimorphia; Didelphidae. The record is from RNAcentral.